RNAcentral lists this small RNA (221 nucleotides) under Bos taurus (domestic cattle). Lineage: Eukaryota; Metazoa; Chordata; Mammalia; Artiodactyla; Bovidae. The record is from RNAcentral.
UCCAGAAAAGUGAGCAGCACAUGAGUGUGGAACACUCUCCUAUUAGUAAACCUUCUUAUGAGCAGAUUGUGAGUGCAUGCAAGGUCACUCCUGUGCAUGGAACAAAUGUAUCAACACCAAGGGGAAAAGGGUAGCUGGGGAAACUGGGAGAUUGCAAUUAAUACAUAUACACUAUUGACAAAGAAAGUGGAAAAAAAAAAAAGGUCUCACGAAUUCCGCUC